This 403-nucleotide ribosomal RNA is filed under the name Pseudomonas putida. Its description in RNAcentral is "bacterial SSU rRNA". It matches the Rfam family "Bacterial small subunit ribosomal RNA", at positions 975 to 1375 of the family's 1533-position model. Lineage: Bacteria; Pseudomonadati; Pseudomonadota; Gammaproteobacteria; Pseudomonadales; Pseudomonadaceae. The record is from RNAcentral.
CAGGCCUUGACAUGCAGAGAACUUUCCAGAGAUGGAUUGGUGCCUUCGGGAACUCUGACACAGGUGCUGCAUGGCUGUCGUCAGCUCGUGUCGNGAGAUGUUGGGUUAAGUCCCGUAACGAGCGCAACCCUUGUCCUUAGUUACCAGCACGUUAUGGUGGGCACUCUAAGGAGACUGCCGGUGACAAACCGGAGGAAGGUGGGGAUGACUGUCAAGUCAUCAUGGCCCUUACNGCCUGGGCUACACACGUGCUACAAUGGUCGGUACAGAGGGUUGNCAAGCCGCGAGGUGGAGCUAAUUCCAUAAAACCGAUCGUNGUCCGGAUCGCANUCUGCAANCUCGACUGCGUGAAGUCGGAAUCGCUAGUAAUCGCGAAUCAGAAUGUNGCGGUGAAUACGUUCCC